CAGAAUAUAAUUUAAUUAAAAUUUUAGUUUUGGAGACUAACUAUAACUGUAAAAGUUUAUUCUGA
This 65-nucleotide transfer RNA is filed under the name Graphocaecilius interpretatus. RNAcentral describes it as "tRNA-Pro". The record is from RNAcentral. Lineage: Eukaryota; Metazoa; Arthropoda; Insecta; Psocodea; Sphaeropsocidae.